UGAGUAAAUCGGAUGGUCGCGUGUAUAUUUUAUAUGCAUGAGGAAAGUCCGGGCUCCACAGGGCAGGGUGCCGGGUAAUACCCGGUGAAGGCGACUUCAAGGAAAGUGCAACAGAGAUAUACCGCCAUAUUUUAUAUGGUAAGGGUGGAAAGGUGAGGUAAGAGCUCACCAGCGAUUAGGCGACUAAUCGGCUAUGUAAACCCCAUCUGGAGCAAGAUCAAAUAGGGAAGCAUUUGGGGUGGCCCGCCUCGCUUCCGGGUAAGAUCGCUAGAGUCUGUUGGUAACAGCAGAUCGAGAUAGAUGACCGUCUAAGACAGAACCCGGCUUAUAGAUUUACUCGUUUA
This 344-nucleotide RNase P RNA is filed under the name Lutispora thermophila DSM 19022. Its description in RNAcentral is "Bacterial RNase P class A". It matches the Rfam family "Bacterial RNase P class A". From Rfam's summary of the family: Ribonuclease P (RNase P) is a ubiquitous endoribonuclease, found in archaea, bacteria and eukarya as well as chloroplasts and mitochondria. Its best characterised activity is the generation of mature 5'-ends of tRNAs by cleaving the 5'-leader elements of precursor-tRNAs. Lineage: Bacteria; Bacillati; Bacillota; Clostridia; Lutisporales; Lutisporaceae. The record is from Rfam by way of RNAcentral.